Molecule: long non-coding RNA, 405 nt
Organism: Zerene cesonia (dogface butterfly)
Lineage: Eukaryota; Metazoa; Arthropoda; Insecta; Lepidoptera; Pieridae
Exons: 2
Source: RefSeq, a predicted model, not a curated record
CUUCUGUUAGGCUAGCAACUAAAUUAUACUCAAAUAUAAAAGAGCGCUUACAUCAGACCAUAGUCACUUUUUAUUUUUACGACUGGUAACAGGACACACGUUCGUUUACUUUCUCACUAAUAUGCUGUGUUCAAAGAUGGUGUUAAAAAUGGUUAUUUCAGUGCUGUUACUCAUACUCAAUGCGAUACAGAAGACGACUUCCCAAAUAUUUAGGGGCCCAAUACAGCCGUGCAUGGUGUGCACUUUGGAAUACGAUCCAGUGUGUGGAUCCGAUGGACUUAUAUAUGAAAGCCGCUGCUGUAUGCUGUGUCGCAACCCAAGGCUUAAGAUAGCACAUGCGAGCGUUUGUGGUAAGGACAGUGACGACUAUAUAUCCAGUGAUUGCGAUUAAAUACUUCCUGAUGA